Molecule: ribosomal RNA, 269 nt
Filed under: uncultured bacterium
Lineage: Bacteria
Description: partial 16S ribosomal RNA
Rfam family: Bacterial small subunit ribosomal RNA
Source: RNAcentral
UACGUAGGGUGCAAGCGUUGUCCGGAAUUAUUGGGCGUAAAGAGCUCGUAGGCGGUCUGUCGCGUCGAAUGUGAAAACCCGGGGCUCAACCCCGGGCUUGCAUUCGAUACGGGCAGACUAGAGUUCGGUAGGGGAGUCUGGAAUUCCUGGUGUAGCGGUGGAAUGCGUAGAGAUCCGGAAGAACACCGGUGGCGAAGGCGGCCCGCUGGGCAGGAAGGCUCGCAAGAGCCGGCUGACGCUGAGGCGCGACAGCGUGGGGAGCAAACAGG